This 497-nucleotide ribosomal RNA is filed under the name uncultured bacterium. RNAcentral's name for it is "partial 16S ribosomal RNA". It matches the Rfam family "Bacterial small subunit ribosomal RNA", at positions 28 to 507 of the family's 1533-position model. The record is from RNAcentral.
GAUGAACGCUGGCGGCGUGCCUAAUACAUGCAAGUCGAGCGAACAGACGAGGAGCUUGCUCCUCUGACGUUAGCGGCGGACGGGUGAGUAACACGUGGAUAACCUACCUAUAAGACUGGGAUAACUUCGGGAAACCGGAGCUAAUACCGGAUAAUAUAUUGAACCGCAUGGUUCAAUAGUGAAAGACGGUUUUGCUGUCACUUAUAGAUGGAUCCGCGCCGCAUUAGCUAGUUGGUAAGGUAACGGCUUACCAAGGCGACGAUGCGUAGCCGACCUGAGAGGGUGAUCGGCCACACUGGAACUGAGACACGGUCCAGACUCCUACGGGAGGCAGCAGUAGGGAAUCUUACGCAAUGGGCGAAAGCCUGACGGAGCAACGCCGCGUGAGUGAUGAAGGUCUUCGGAUCGUAAAACUCUGUUAUUAGGGAAGAACAAAUGUGUAAGUAACUAUGCACGUCUUGACGGUACCUAAUCAGAAAGCCACGGCUAACUACGUG